GGGGUUAUAGCUCAGUUGGGAGAGCGCCUGGUUUGCAACCAGGAGGCCAGGGGUUCGAGCCCCCUUAGCUCCACCA
This 76-nucleotide transfer RNA is filed under the name Bacilli bacterium. RNAcentral describes it as "tRNA-Ala". It matches the Rfam family "tRNA". From Rfam's summary of the family: Transfer RNA (tRNA) molecules are approximately 80 nucleotides in length. Their secondary structure includes four short double-helical elements and three loops (D, anti-codon, and T loops). RNAcentral also lists the same sequence under 1 other name. The record is from RNAcentral. Lineage: Bacteria; Bacillati; Bacillota; Bacilli.